Non-coding RNA from Lactifluus volemus, 87 nucleotides. Lineage: Eukaryota; Fungi; Basidiomycota; Agaricomycetes; Russulales; Russulaceae. The record is from the annotation of a GenBank genome assembly.
GCAUUGUUGGGGUAGUGGUAACCUGGAUCGUUGCCACCGAGUAUCACAUGACUCGAUCCGCCCCGGGUUCGAUUCCCGGACAAUGCA